UGGGGAAUUUUGGACAGUGGGCGAAAGCCUGAUCCAGCAAUGCCGCGUGUGUGAAGAAGGCCUUCGGGUUGUAAAGCACUUUUGUCCGGAAAGAAAUCCUUGGCUCUAAUACAGUCGGGGGAUGACGGUACCGGAAGAAUAAGCACCGGCUAACUACGUGCCAGCAGCCGCGGCAAUACGUAGGGUGCAAGCGUUAAUCGGAAUUACUGGGCGUAAAGCGUGCGCAGGCGGUUUGCUAAGACCGAUGUGAAAUCCCCGGGCUCAACCUGGGAACUGCAUUGGUGACUGGCAGGCUAGAGUAUGGCAGAGGGGGGUAGAAUUCCACGUGUAGCAGUGAAAUGCGUAGAGAUGUGGAGGAAUACCGAUGGCGAAGGCAGCCCCCUGGGCCAAUACUGACGCUCAUGCACGAAAGCGUGGGGAGCAAACAGGAUUAGAUACCCUGGUAGUCCACGCCCUAAACGAUGUCAACUAGUUGUUGGGAAUUCAUUUCCUUAGUAACGUAGCUAACGCGUGAAGUUGACCGCCUGGGGAGUACGGUCGCAAGAUUAAAACUCAAAUGAAUUGAC
RNAcentral lists this ribosomal RNA (566 nucleotides) under uncultured bacterium. RNAcentral describes it as "partial 16S ribosomal RNA". It matches the Rfam family "Bacterial small subunit ribosomal RNA", at positions 355 to 914 of the family's 1533-position model. The record is from RNAcentral.